UGUCCUCGAGUGUUGAUAGCCUUAAUCAUCUUAGAUUCUGGACCACUCAACAUUUAGCCCAUCAUGGGCACUCAACCAUCUCUGCAAUUCCUGAUCCUUCCACUAUCCAAAACACCCUCGCAUCCAUGUCUCCCCUCAAAACACCGGGUACUGAUGGUCUUCCAGUUCUUUUUUUCAAAAAACUUAGGACUUUACUGGCCCUGAUCUUAUCAAGGUUGUCCAAGAUUUCUUCAUAAAUCAUUGUUUACUCGAAGGUCUCAACCACAACCAUAUUGCUCUCAUACCAAAAAAGACCGAUAGUAUCUCUCCAAAUGAUUUCCGACCCAUUAGCUUAACAAUAUUGCCAACAAAACCAUCACCAAAAUCCUUUCUAAUCGAAUCAAACCUCAGCUCAAAUCCCGCAUCUCUCCCUUCCAAGGAUCAUUCAUUGAGGGGAGAAGCAUAACUAAUAACAUCCUCUUAGCAAGAGAAAUUUUUCCACCACCGCAAAUCCACCCAAGCUAAACUGGGUUUCUUCGCUCUCAAACUUGACAUGUUGUCCCUAAUUCACUCAUGUGUUGUUGAUGUCUCAUUCUCAAUGUUAAUCAAUGACAGCCAUGAUGGUUUCUUUAAUGCCACAGGGGUCUUCGUCAGGGCAGCCCUCUGUCCCCUUUCCCUUUAUCUCAGUCAUGGAGGCUCUUUCUCGCAUGCUUGGAAAAAAUCUUCAACUUGGGCUUAUCAAAGGGCUCACACUAUCAAAUAGUGAGAUUCCUCUCACUCAGCUCUUUUUUGCUGAGGAUAUUCUCUCAUUUGGCACUUGCUAGGAAUUGGAGUGUAGAGUGAUCAAAGCUACUUUGGCCACCUUUGGCACAAUCUCUGUUCAGGUUAUUAAUUAUGAAAAAUCAUCCAUCCAUCUCAGUCAUGUCGCCGAUAAUCACACUAGAAGAAAGGUUCUCUAAAUUUUCAAUGUGGUCAAGAUAAGCUUGGAUAAUAAAUAUUUGGGCUUGUUGAAAUUCUGAACUGAGUAGUGAAGAAAAACUUUGGCUAAGGCUAGUAUGAUAGAGAAUUAGAGAGAGAGAUCUAGAAGAAGAUAGAGAAUUUGGUGCU
Asparagus officinalis (garden asparagus) is the source of this 1086-nucleotide long non-coding RNA. RefSeq lists it as uncharacterized. NCBI's taxonomy places the organism in Eukaryota, Viridiplantae, Streptophyta, Magnoliopsida, Asparagales, Asparagaceae. The record is from RefSeq and is a predicted model, not a curated record. The transcript has 2 exons.